Molecule: ribosomal RNA, 546 nt
Filed under: Staphylococcus aureus
Lineage: Bacteria; Bacillati; Bacillota; Bacilli; Caryophanales; Staphylococcaceae
Description: partial 23S ribosomal RNA
Rfam family: Bacterial large subunit ribosomal RNA
Source: RNAcentral
GAGAUAGCUGGUUCUCUCCGAAAUAGCUUUAGGGCUAGCCUCAAGUGAUGAUUAUUGGAGGUAGAGCACUGUUUGGACGAGGGGCCCCUCUCGGGUUACCGAAUUCAGACAAACUCCGAAUGCCAAUUAAUUUAACUUGGGAGUCAGAACAUGGGUGAUAAGGUCCGUGUUCGAAAGGGAAACAGCCCAGACCACCAGCUAAGGUCCCAAAAUAUAUGUUAAGUGGAAAAGGAUGUGGCGUUGCCCAGACAACUAGGAUGUUGGCUUAGAAGCAGCCAUCAUUUAAAGAGUGCGUAAUAGCUCACUAGUCGAGUGACACUGCGCCGAAAAUGUACCGGGGCUAAACAUAUUACCGAAGCUGUGGAUUGUCCUUUGGACAAUGGUAGGAGAGCGUUCUAAGGGCGUUGAAGCAUGAUCGUAAGGACAUGUGGAGCGCUUAGAAGUGAGAAUGCCGGUGUGAGUAGCGAAAGACGGGUGAGAAUCCCGUCCACCGAUUGACUAAGGUUUCCAGAGGAAGGCUCGUCCGCUCUGGGUUAGUCGGGUCCU